UCAGGAUGAACGCUGGCGGCGUGCCUAAUACAUGCAAGUCGAGCGAACAGACGAGGAGCUUGCUCCUCUGACGUUAGCGGCGGACGGGUGAGUAACACGUGGGUAACCUACCUAUAAGACUGGGAUAACUCCGGGAAACCGGAGCUAAUACCGGAUAAUAUUUUGAACCGCAUGGUUCAAAAGUGAAAGAUGGUUUUGCUAUCACUUAUAGAUGGACCCGCGCCGUAUUAGCUAGUUGGUAAGGUAACGGCUUACCAAGGCGACGAUACGUAGCCGACCUGAGAGGGUGAUCGGCCACACUGGAACUGAGACACGGUCCAGACUCCUACGGGAGGCAGCAGUAGGGAAUCUUCCGCAAUGGGCGAAAGCCUGACGGAGCAACGCCGCGUGAGUGAUGAAGGUCUUCGGAUCGUAAAACUCUGUUAUUAGGGAAGAACAUACGUGUAAGUAACUGUGCACGUCUUGACGGUACCUAAUCAGAAAGCCACGGCUAACUACGUGCCAGCAGCCGCGGUAAUACGUAGGU
RNAcentral lists this ribosomal RNA (526 nucleotides) under Staphylococcus pragensis. Its description in RNAcentral is "bacterial SSU rRNA". It matches the Rfam family "Bacterial small subunit ribosomal RNA", at positions 24 to 532 of the family's 1533-position model. Lineage: Bacteria; Bacillati; Bacillota; Bacilli; Caryophanales; Staphylococcaceae. The record is from RNAcentral.